RNAcentral lists this ribosomal RNA (312 nucleotides) under uncultured Ruminococcus sp. Its description in RNAcentral is "partial 16S ribosomal RNA". Lineage: Bacteria; Bacillati; Bacillota; Clostridia; Eubacteriales; Oscillospiraceae. The record is from RNAcentral.
GGAGUCUGGGCCGUGUCUCAGUCCCAAUGUGGCCGUUCAACCUCUCAGUCCGGCUACUGAUCGUCGCCUUGGUGGGCCGUUACCUCACCAACUAGCUAAUCAGACGCGAGCUCAUCUUCAGGCAAUAAAUCUUUGAUAGCAAAAUCAUGCGGUUUCGCUAUGUUAUGCGGUAUUAACAGUCGUUUCCAACUGGUAUCCCCCACCCAAAGGCAGAUUGCUCACGUGUUACUCACCCGUCCGCCACUGAUCCAUGGUGCAAGCACCAUUUCACCGUUCGACUUGCAUGUGUUAAGCGUGCCGCCAGCGUUCGUC